RNAcentral lists this ribosomal RNA (406 nucleotides) under uncultured bacterium. RNAcentral describes it as "partial 16S ribosomal RNA". It matches the Rfam family "Bacterial small subunit ribosomal RNA", at positions 30 to 526 of the family's 1533-position model. The record is from RNAcentral.
AUUGAACUCUGGCGGCAGGUCUAACACAUGCAAGUAGAACGAGUGGCGGACGGGUGAGUAAUGUCUGGGAAACUGCCUGAUGGAGGGGGAUAACUACUGGAAACGGUAGCUCAUACCGCAUACCAUCAGAAGUGCCCAGAUUGGAGUAGCUUGUUGGUGGGGUAACCGCUCACCAAGGCGACGGUCCCUAGCUGGUCUGAGAGGCUGACCAGCCACACUGGAACUGAGGCGCGGUCCAGACCCCUACGUGAGACAGCAGUGGAGAAUGGUGCACAAUGGGCGCAAGCCUGAUGCAGCCCAGCCGCGUAUAUGAAGAAGGACUUCGGAUUGUAAAAUACUUUCAGCAGGGAGGCUAUACCCGCAGGAGCAGCACCGGCUAACUCCGUGCCGGCAGCCGCGGUAAUAC